This 254-nucleotide ribosomal RNA is filed under the name uncultured bacterium. RNAcentral's name for it is "partial 16S ribosomal RNA". It matches the Rfam family "Bacterial small subunit ribosomal RNA", at positions 524 to 776 of the family's 1533-position model. The record is from RNAcentral.
UACGGGGGGAGCAAGCGUUGUUCGGAUUUACUGGGCGUAAAGGGCGCGUAGGCGGCCAGCACAAGUCAGUUGUGAAAUCUCCGGGCUUAACUCGGAAAGGUCAACUGAUACUGUGCGGCUAGAGUGCAGAAGGGGCAACUGGAAUUCCUGGUGUAGCGGUGAAAUGCGCAGAUAUCAGGAGGAACACCGGUGGCGAAGGCGGGUCUCUGGGCCGAUACUGACGCUGAGGAGCGAAAGCGUGGGGAGCGAACAGG